GCCUCGGUAGUCUAAAGGCUUAGGACGCUUGUACGUAAUACAAAAGAUUCGGGUUCAACUCCCGGCCGAGGUA
Trachymyrmex cornetzi is the source of this 73-nucleotide non-coding RNA. NCBI's taxonomy places the organism in Eukaryota, Metazoa, Arthropoda, Insecta, Hymenoptera, Formicidae. The record is from Rfam.